RNAcentral lists this ribosomal RNA (435 nucleotides) under Staphylococcus epidermidis NIH04008. RNAcentral describes it as "bacterial SSU rRNA". It matches the Rfam family "Bacterial small subunit ribosomal RNA", at positions 1 to 423 of the family's 1533-position model. Lineage: Bacteria; Bacillati; Bacillota; Bacilli; Caryophanales; Staphylococcaceae. The record is from RNAcentral.
UUUUUAUGGAGAGUUUGAUCCUGGCUCAGGAUGAACGCUGGCGGCGUGCCUAAUACAUGCAAGUCGAGCGAACAGACGAGGAGCUUGCUUCUCUGACGUUAGCGGCGGACGGGUGAGUAACACGUGGAUAACCUACCUAUAAGACUGGGAUAACUUCGGGAAACCGGAGCUAAUACCGGAUAAUAUAUUGAACCGCAUGGUUCAAUAGUGAAAGACGGUUUUGCUGUCACUUAUAGAUGGAUCCGCGCCGCAUUAGCUAGUUGGUAAGGUAACGGCUUACCAAGGCAACGAUGCGUAGCCGACCUGAGAGGGUGAUCGGCCACACUGGAACUGAGACACGGUCCAGACUCCUACGGGAGGCAGCAGUAGGGAAUCUUCCGCAAUGGGCGAAAGCCUGACGGAGCAACGCCGCGUGAGUGAUGAAGGUCUUCGGAU